GGGCGUGUGGCUCAGUUGGUAGAGCGUUCGCUUAGCAUACUCAAAGUCCCUUGAAAAAAAUUCUUCAUGAAUCGAUCAGGGAUCCCAUUGUAUGCGAAAGGUCCUGGGUUCGAUUCCCAGCUCGUCCA
This is a non-coding RNA of Cercophora samala, 128 nucleotides long. Lineage: Eukaryota; Fungi; Ascomycota; Sordariomycetes; Sordariales; Lasiosphaeriaceae. The record is from the annotation of a GenBank genome assembly.